Long non-coding RNA from Phyllopteryx taeniolatus (common seadragon), 3799 nucleotides. RefSeq lists it as uncharacterized. The transcript is spliced from 2 exons. The record is from RefSeq and is a predicted model, not a curated record. Lineage: Eukaryota; Metazoa; Chordata; Actinopteri; Syngnathiformes; Syngnathidae.
UUCUGCUCGUCAUAUUGUCUCUUUUUUUUUUUUCUCCGAUUGCUUAGGUACAGCUGAAGACUCCUGCACCUUUUCUCCUUCAGCAAUGUCAACAAGCCAUAUGUUUCCCUUUUGUGCCACUAAAUGACAUACACAGGAAAAAAAAAAGCAACCAUCCACGGCUGCUCUCUCGGGUUUGAAGAAGCACUCAACGCAGGCCAGCCGGAUUCCUCGCUAAUAUACUGGUGUUCUGUCCUCCCUUUUGCAUGCUGUUACAUAUUUUUUGGCUUUGCUCCUAUUAAAUUCCAGGGAGAACUGCUGGAUGAUCCAUUACCGUUUCCACAAUCCACAUCUGUCCUCUUUGUGGAGCUGCCUGGCUGGCUGUUAGCAUGCUCCUGGUCACCAUUUUGAGACAUCGAUAGAAUGGUUUAAUUCCCUGACUGUGCAUUUAUUUACCUCCACAUACACUUCAAGGCGGUGAAUUUUUGGUUCCAGGAAUGCCGUCUUCUGUAGCAGUUUUUGAUAGUCUUCAGUGGAAAAGCGAGGCAUCUUGUUGCUGGUCUUGUUGCUAAUAGCAGGCUUGUGCUGAUUAGCAGGCCACGCUCACGUAAUGGUGAGGGAAUAUAAAAAAAAUAUUGGAAUAUGGCAAUGACUGACUGUAUCUACAAAAUGUACGGUCAAGUUUAAAAAUAUCCAGGAAUCGCUGCUUCUAAUUUCUUUGGAAGAAGAAAAACAAGUUUAUCAGAAAGAAAAAUGUAAACAGAGGCCAAGCAAGUAGAACAAGCAAAAAAGCAUUUGCACUGUAUGAGAAUAGGAGUGGAAGAUAGUCGUGGGAAUUUUUUUUUUACCAAGACAGUCAUUCUACCAGUGCACUGAAUUAUUUUACUUGUGAGGACAAAGAGCAUAUUAGUACAUUGAUGGACCUUUAAGUUGGAUAGCAAGGAUAUUGAAUAAAGGAUUAAACGGCUUUUCAUUAUAACAUACCAGAAGCGGAAAAUCAAUUAUUACAGGUUAAACUUUUACAACCCCAAUUGCAAUGUAGUUGGGAUGUUGUGUCAAACAUAAAUAAAAACAGAAUACAAUGAUAUUUGCAAAUCAUGUUCAACCUAUAUUUAAUUGAAAUACACUGCAAAGACAAGAUAUUUAAUGUUCAAACUGAUAAACGUUAUUGUUUUUAGCAAAUAAUCAUUAAUUUAGAAUUUUAUGGCUGCAACACGUUCCAGAAAAGCUGGGACAGGUGGCAAAAAAGACUGAGAAAGUUGAGGAAUACUCAUCAAACACCUGUUCGGAACAUCCCACAGGUGAACAGGCUAAUUGGGAACGGGUGUGUGCCAUGAUUGGGUAUAAAAGGAACUUCCCUGAAUUGCUCAGUCAUUCACAAGCAAAGAUGGGGCGAAGUUCACCUAUUUGUGAACAAGUCCGUGAGAAAAUAGUCAAACAGUUUAAGGACAAUGUUCCGCAACAUACAAUUGCUAGGAAUUUAGGGAUUUCAUCAUCUACGGUCCAUAAUAUCAUCAAAAGGUUCAGAGAAUCUGGAGAAAUCACUGCAUGUAAGCGGCAAGGCCGGAAACCAACAUUGAAUGUUCGUGACCUUCGAUCCCUCAGGUGGCACUGCAUCAAAAACCGACAUCAAUGUGUAAAGGAUAUCACCACAUGGGCUCAGGAAUCCUUCAGAAAACCAAUGUCAGUAAAUAAAGUUCGGCGCUACAUCCGUAAGUGCAACUUGAAACUCUACUAUGCAAAGCAAAAGCCAUUUAUUAACAACACCCAGAAACGCCGCCGGCUUCUCUGGGCCCGAGCUCAUCUAAGAUGGACUGAUGCAAAGUGGAAAAGUGUUCUGUGGUCCGACGAGUACACAUUUUAAAUUGUUUUGGGAAAAUGUGGACGUCGUGUCCUCCGGGCCAAAGAGGAAAAGAACCAUCUGGACUGUUACGGACGCAAAGUUCAUCUGUGAUGGUAUGGGGCUGUGUUAGUGCCAAUGGCAUGGGUAACUUACACAUCUGUGAAGGCACCAUUAAUGCUGAAAGCUACAUACAGGCUUUGGAGAAACAUGUGCUGCCAUCCAAGCAACGUCUUUUUCAUGGACGCCUCUGCUUAUUUCAGCAAGACAUGCCAAACCACAUUCUGCACGUGUUACAACAGCGUGACUUCGUAGUAAAAGAGUGCGGGUACUAGACUGGCCUGCCUGCAGUCCAGACCUGUCUCCCAUUGAAAAUGUGUGGUGCAUUAUGAAGCGUAAAAUACGACAACAGAGACCCCAGACUGAAGCUGUACAUCAAGCAAGAAUGGGAAAGAAUUCCACCUACAAAGCUUCAACAACUAGUGUCCUCAGUUCCCCAACAUUUAUUGAAUGUUAUUAAAAGAAAAGGUGAUAUAACACAGUUUUUGUAACACAUGACCCUGUCCCAGCUUUUUUGGAACGUGUUGCAGCCAUAAAAUUCUAAGUUAAUGAUUAUUUGCUAAUAACAAUAAAGUUGAUCAGUUUGAACAUUAAAUAUCUUAUCUUUGUAGUGUAUUCAAUUAAAUAUAGGUUGAACAUGAUUUGCAAAUCAUUGUAUUCUGUUUUUAUUUAUGGUUAACAGGUUGUGUUAACGGCGGCACGGUGGCCGACUGGUUAGAGCGUCAGCCUCACAGUUCUGAGGUGCGGGGUUCAAUCCCCGUCCCCGCCUGUGUGGAGUUUGCAUGUUCUCCCCGUGCCUGCGUGGGUUUUCUCCGGGCACUCCGGUUUCCUCCCACAUCCCAAAAACAUGCAUUAAUUGGAGACUCUAAAUUGCCCGUAGGCAUGACUGUGAGUGCGAAUGGUUGUUAGUUUCUAUGUGCCCUGCGAUUGGCUGGCAACCAGUUCAGGGUGUACCCCGCCUCCUGCCCGAUGACAGCUGGGAUAGGCUCCAAGCACGCCCGCGACCCUAGUGAGGAGAAGCGGCUCAGAAAAUGGAUGGAUGGAUGGAGGUUGUGUUAACCAACUUCAUUGGAAUUGGGGUUGUACUUUUGGUGACAGUUAAUAAAUGUGGGUCCACAGCAGUGGAGAUAAGUUUAAAACCACUUUUAUUUUUUUUUAGAAAAACAGAAGACCAACAUAGACUUGCACAGUAACACUGGUGAGUGGAAUACAGACUCCGACUAAUGCGUGACUUCACCCAAGCGGGUCAUUACAUAGAAAGCCGAUCGUGUGAGUGCGUGCAAGUGUCUUAAUGUGCAGUGAUGACAGGAAGCAACCCUGAGCCUUGUUUCACAUAAAUAUAUUACAAAUAAAUGUUGGCCGACGUUUAGAUUUGGCCCAGAAAUUGUAGAAAAGAGAUUCAUACUGUUUUCUGGAAUUCAGAAGCCAACCUGGUGACUUUCAGGGAGCCAGAUAGAGAGAGUGGGCCUCAUGCAUGAAACAUCUGUGCGGAUAGUAUUACUCUGUAAUUGUACGUACAACUAAUUCAAUUGUUGUCUUUUUUGUGUUGUUUCUUUUAAUCCGCAAGCUUCAUCUGAAGCUAAUUUAAAACUAUCAAUGAAAAAGCAAAUCAUGAAAACAUGACUCAAGGCAAAGAAAUUCAGUUCAAUCAAACCUAUCAAUCCAUUUCAAGGAACAUUACUGUGACACUGGAUGUAUUUUGUAUAAAUUUUGUAUCAAAUUUAGGUCGUAGUAUAAUAUGCAUCUUAUUUUUCUCUAUAAAUAAGUGAAAAAUAAGAAACAUUCAUGCAUGAAGCCCAAUUUUCUGACUUGUCAUAAACGUCCAACCAUGUAUAUUGACUUCCAAGCAGGGAAGAGUUCCUCUUGAUCCCCAAAUCCCUGACAUCCUGUGAUGGCUUUUCAAUAAAAUAGACUGAACCG